Molecule: ribosomal RNA, 469 nt
Filed under: uncultured bacterium
Lineage: Bacteria
Description: bacterial SSU rRNA
Rfam family: Bacterial small subunit ribosomal RNA
Source: RNAcentral
GACGAACGCUGGCGGCGUGCCUAACACAUGCAAGUCAACUUGACUGAAGGAGCAAUCUGACAGUAGAGUGGCGCAAGGGUGCGUAACGCGUAGGUAACUUGCCCAAGGUAAGGAAUAACGUCGAGAAAUCGGCGCUAAUACCUCAUAAUGCAGCGGAUCCGCAUGGAUAUGUUGUUAAAGGUUUACCGCCUUGGGAUAGGCUUGCGUCUGAUUAGUUAGUUGGUGUGGUAACGGCACACCAAGGCUACGAUCAGUAACUGGUCUGAGAGGAUGAUCAGUCACACUGGAACUGAGACACGGUCCAGACUCCUACGGGAGGCAGCAGUGAGGAAUAUUGGGCAAAUGCUCGAAAGAGUGACCCAGCAACGCCGCGUGGAGGAUGAAGGUAUUCUAUAUCGUAAACUCCUGUGAGAGCAGACGAAAGACAGAUUAUUAAUCUGGAUGACUGUAUGCUCAGAGGAAGCCCCGG